This 108-nucleotide small nucleolar RNA is filed under the name Sorghum bicolor (sorghum). RNAcentral's name for it is "Plant small nucleolar RNA R71". It matches the Rfam family "Plant small nucleolar RNA R71". Rfam says of the family: R71 is a member of the C/D box family of snoRNAs containing the C (UGAUGA) and D (CUGA) box motifs. Multiple nearly identical copies of this snoRNA have been identified in Arabidopsis, and it is thought to function as a 2'-O-ribose methylation guide for 18S ribosomal RNA. Lineage: Eukaryota; Viridiplantae; Streptophyta; Magnoliopsida; Poales; Poaceae. The record is from Rfam by way of RNAcentral.
AUUCCAUGAUGGGGACAUUCUAGGAUGUAUUCUUGAAAGCGCUCCCAUGCCUCUGGAACGGAUUCAUCAAGGGUUUUGCUAAAAACUUGUAAUCUUCCCACGUAGAGC